Pyrus x bretschneideri (Chinese white pear) is the source of this 519-nucleotide long non-coding RNA. RefSeq lists it as uncharacterized. The transcript has 2 exons. NCBI's taxonomy places the organism in Eukaryota, Viridiplantae, Streptophyta, Magnoliopsida, Rosales, Rosaceae. The record is from RefSeq and is a predicted model, not a curated record.
UCUCUUCAAAUAAUGUGUGUUUUCUAAUCUAAAUUAUGUUAUUACAGUCUUCUGAAGAUAUGGAAUCUGAACGAUGUUACUGGAGUUGUGGGGGUCUUCAAUUGCCAGGGAGCUGGGUGGUGUAAGGUUGGAAAGACGAACCUCAUCCAUGACCUGGAACCAGGCACAAUUACCGGGGUUAUUCGGGCUAAAGAUGUUGAUUAUCUGCCCAAGGUUGCAGAUGAGAAAUGGUCUGGGAAUGUUGUCGUAUUUUCUCAUCUUGGUAGAGAGGUGUCUUAUCUUCCCAAGGAUGCAUCCAUGACAAUAACAUUAAAAACCCGGGAAUAUGAAGUCUUCACAGUGGUUCCUGUCAAGGAACUGUCCAACGGCGUAAAAUUUUCUCCCAUAGGCCUAAUCAAGAUGUUGAACUCUGGGGGAGCCAUAAAAGAAUAUGAUGAACCUAACACAAGCACAACAGUUGUCGUGAAAGCUCGUGGAUGUGGCACAUUUGGAGCCUACUCAUCAGCUCGACCCAAGAGG